GAGAGAGAGAGAGGAAGAACUAGAGAAAGAGAGAAACUGAGAGAGAGAGAGAGAGAGAGAGAGAAAGAUAGUGUGUAGGUGUACGAGAGCAAGUGAGAAACAGAGAGUAUCUCUACCGUGUGGAACGUGUACCGGACGUGCGAGCAUGCCACGCCCGUUACCGCAGCAUUUCUAUGACUAUGCGCUGUGCGAUCUAUCCUAGGGAUAUAGAGAGUACGUGUCAGGGUUUAUAGGUGUGGGUACUGGGAUCGGAUCGAGGCGGUUUCGUGGUUUUCGUGGAAGACGAAGUUCCGAUAUCCCCUCUCCAAUAGGGAAACGGAUCUUGCGUGCGAAAGAUCGCACCGCUUCUCGGAUCCCAUCCUUUUCGAUCCUUUGACUAUUCACUUUGUUUCCUCAUUCUUUGUCUACGUAUCGAUUAUACGAGAAACGUUCUACUUUCGACUAAAAAAAAGAAGAAAAACCUUUGGCGAAAUCUUUUAGCAUCUACGACACACGACGCUUAGAGUUUGUUUUCUAAAAGAUAUUAGGAAUGCAAGGAACCUUGAAAAAUCUGUUUGACUUUUCAGGAAGAAACGGAGUGGUUCGAACGUCUCAGAAAGGAACAACGUUCACGGUUCGAUCGGUUUGAGGACUCUCAGCCGUAACAAAUUCGAAUAUCUAGGUAUCUAUCGUCGAAGUUUAACCUUGGCAGCGAAUCGUGAAAUGCUAAUUGGAAUCGAAAUGCUAAUUAGAAUAAUAUUUAUAUAGCAAUUUCGGAGCGUAUGCAUCUCGCAUAACCGAGCGAGAUCGGUGUGAACCUACGGCCGACGUAGCAAGCGUGUACCACCACCAUCACCAUCACCACCACCACCAUCACCAUCACGUCGCAUUUCGCGUUAAUGGCCACAAUUAGCGAGGUUUAUUCUUACACGGUGCUAAUCGAUUUUCAUUGGUGUUCGUGGUCGUGGACGAUGGAAAAGUAAGUAACGAUUUGCGGAGAUAAAAUAAAAGUAUAAGUAGGUACUUCGUGGGCCUCGUAGAGAAUGAGAAGGAAGAUAUAACAAGGGUAUGAGAUUUCAGGUAACACACACGUUCGUUCGUUCGUUCUCGAACUACCGACGAGGCCAGAGACUUUGGAUAAUCCUCGUACGUGAAUGUGUUCUUCUCAUAAUAUGCCUAUCUCUAUCUCUCUAUCUCAUUCUCUUCCUAUGUUUCCCUUUCUCUUUUUAUUUAACAGACCCUCUGACUACAAAUCGGCGUAGAACGGCCGUUGCCUGUAAUUUAAUAUACGCACGAAAUGGAGACAGUAAUGACUCGUAUGGUUUCAGGCUUAAAAUUAAAUGCGACUAUCCGAGUUAGUAAAAUUCCUAAUUCGUACGCUCCAGAUCCGCGGACGGGCAAGGUAGUUGGAGGGAAGAGAGAAAACGACAGAGAGUAAGAGAAAGAGAGAGAGAUAGAGAGAGAAAGAGAAAGAGAGAAAGAGAAAAAGAGAGAAAGAUAGAGAGAGGGUGGGACAGGAGUACGUAGCAAGCACGUACAUUUUUCGUGUGAUCUUUCGGGGCUUCGUUUCCUCGUACCCAGCCCCUUUACCUCACCCUUCGAAUCUAGCCCUCGAGCUAGUCAAACGAGCCACCACUAGUGGAAGGUGCAACUGGACGCGUUCCAAAUUAAAUUCGGUCCUGUUGAAAUGAAAAAGAAGCAAAUGGACUACUGUUCUGUCGCGACAAAGAACAAGGCGUGGGUCAGGAACUCGAACGGAUAAAAUGAAGGUCUUGGUCCUUAGAUACGAUAGAACGUCAGUUAAUUCUACUCUAUGCUACUCAUUCCGGUAUCAUUUUUCAAUCAUAAAUCUUUCUUCCUACCAUAUGUUUUCUAAUCUUCGUAUCAUCUAUACGUUCAAAUAUAUCAUUUAAAACGAAUACAUAUUUAUACUUAACACAAAAUUCUUAUCAACUGGGCGUAUCUAAUACAUCGAUGCAUACCAAAUGUGUUUAAAACAAUUCUGUCGAUUAAUCGAGCGUUUUAAUCGAUAGAAAUACACAGCGGAGAGUUUAUUCGGAAACGCAAUACGAUUGUAUGCGGGCAAUACAAGAGAAUAAUAGAUUCAAAUAACGCAGAACGAUGAGCGUGGGUUUGUAAAAGAAGGAGAGAGAGAGAGAGAGAGAGAGAGAGAGAGGAAGAGAGAAAGAGAAAGAGAGAUGGAGAUAGAGAUAGAUAACGAGUGCGAGAGUCCAUGUAAAACCACACGUGCGCUCGUAAUCGAUGUGCAUACGAAUCGCAGAGAAAAUCUCAGUUUAACGAGCCACGAACGAUCCUGCCAGAGUGUUAACUUGUCUUACAUUCUUCGUCCUUUGAAAUAAUAAAGAAGCAAAUGGAUUUAAAAAAAUAUACUAUUAUUCCUUUUCGGUAAGGUUGGAAUCGUUAAACAAAGGGAAAAAUAAAGAGAAAGAAAGAAAGAAAGAAAGAGAGAGAGAGA
RNAcentral lists this long non-coding RNA (2455 nucleotides) under Polistes canadensis. RNAcentral's name for it is "uncharacterized LOC106785416". Lineage: Eukaryota; Metazoa; Arthropoda; Insecta; Hymenoptera; Vespidae. The record is from RNAcentral.